UGAAGCGGGAUCCGUUGGGGGUUGGUGUCGACUCGGAGGCAUGUCGGGAUAGGGGUUCGAAAGUAAAAAUAAAAAUAUCUGCGACGGGUAGUAAACUCAAGCUGCUCCUUGGUGCUUGAACCAGUUGUGCGGUACCGUAGAAGGAAAUCUUCUUCCACUUCUUCAAAAGAGAGAGGGAGAAAAAGUGGGAAUACUUAUGGUAAAGGCGGUUAAAAAUGUAUCAAUUCCAACUGAUGAACAGGAAAAAAGCAACCAUAAAACAUACGAUCGGGGAGAGAUAGAAUCCAUGGCAGGAAGCACAGGUUUGAAGAAAACGCAACCGAGAUACAUGCAU
RNAcentral lists this small RNA (334 nucleotides) under Histoplasma capsulatum var. duboisii H88. Its description in RNAcentral is "Histoplasma capsulatum H88 hypothetical RNA". Lineage: Eukaryota; Fungi; Ascomycota; Eurotiomycetes; Onygenales; Ajellomycetaceae. The record is from RNAcentral.